GACGAACCGAGCGAACGUUGUUCGGAAUCACUGGGCUUAAAGGGCGCGUAGGCGGGCUGCCAAGUUUGGGGUGAAAUCCUCCGGCUCAACCGGGGAAGUGCCUCGAAUACUGGCGGUCUGGAGGGAGGUAGGGGCGUGCGGAACUGUGGGUGGAGCGGUGAAAUGCGUUGAUAUCCACAGGAACUCCGGUGGCGAAGGCGGCACGCUGGACCUUUUCUGACGCUGAGGCGCGAAAGCCAGGGGAGCAAACGGG
Molecule: ribosomal RNA, 253 nt
Filed under: uncultured bacterium
Lineage: Bacteria
Description: partial 16S ribosomal RNA
Rfam family: Bacterial small subunit ribosomal RNA
Source: RNAcentral